GAUGAACGCUAGCUACAGGCUUAACACAUGCAAGUCGCGGGGCAGCAUUUUCCUAGCUUGCUAGGGAAGAUGGCGACCGGCGCACGGGUGAGUAACGCGUAUCCAACCUUCCCAUGUCCACGGGAUAGCCCGUCGAAAGGCGGAUUAAUACCGUAUGAGGUCACAUGCGGGCAUCUAAAUGUGACGAAAGGUUUUGCGGACAUGGAUGGGGAUGCGUCCGAUUAGCUUGACGGCGGGGUAACGGCCCACCGUGGCGACGAUCGGUAGGGGUUCUGAGAGGAAGGUCCCCCACAUUGGAACUGAGACACGGUCCAAACUCCUACGGGAGGCAGCAGUGAGGAAUAUUGGUCAAUGGGCGAGAGCCUGAACCAGCCAAGUAGCGUGCAGGAUGACGGCCCUAUGGGUGUAAACUGCUUUUAUAAGGGAAUAAAGUGAGUCUCGUGAGACUUUUUGCUAUGUACCUUAUGAAUAAGGACCGGCUAAUUCCGUGCCAGCA
This 496-nucleotide ribosomal RNA is filed under the name uncultured bacterium. Its description in RNAcentral is "bacterial SSU rRNA". It matches the Rfam family "Bacterial small subunit ribosomal RNA", at positions 28 to 513 of the family's 1533-position model. The record is from RNAcentral.